RNAcentral lists this long non-coding RNA (556 nucleotides) under Hordeum vulgare. RNAcentral describes it as "long non-coding RNA (HVUL_LNC003383)". The record is from RNAcentral. Lineage: Eukaryota; Viridiplantae; Streptophyta; Magnoliopsida; Poales; Poaceae.
GAAUGGCUAGGAUUUGUGUUUGAGGUAAAACUCGGUGGGUCCGAUAUAUGGAAGUUUGUGACACCAAAUUUGUGUAUAUGGAAUUUGAGAGAGUGGAUUUGCGGGAAAAAUGACUGAGUAUUUUGGUGGCUAACUUUGAGCAUUUGAGCAAUUAGUUCAUUUUACUACCUCACCCCCUUUUAAUAGUAUUUUCUUUCCUAUGGACUCAAAAGUGAUUUCUCACAAAUAUAAAAUGAAGAGUCUUCUAGCUUGAAGCUUGAGCCAAUAUUAUUCCUUUCUUGCAUCAAGGGGCAUCUCCACAUAAGCCUUUCGCCAUAGCAUCUUUUGAACUUUUCUGAAAUAUACUUGGAAAACAUAUUAGUCCAAUGAUGCAUAUGUUGUGUUCAAUUAUCAAAACCAUCCUAGGGGGCAAUUGUGCUUUCACGCAUCCCAUGAGAUGUCAAUCCACGGUCUCAUAAUAACCACGACAAACCUCCGUCCGAAGUUGUCCCAGACCAGCAUGUCAUACGAGGCAUGAGGUAGUGCCCACUCACCAUCUGCAUCACAUAAAAUCAAC